This is a long non-coding RNA of Mus spicilegus (steppe mouse), 1874 nucleotides long. NCBI's taxonomy places the organism in Eukaryota, Metazoa, Chordata, Mammalia, Rodentia, Muridae. The record is from Ensembl.
GUCUUUACUUCCUCCUAAAAUUUCCCAUUACUGGAAAGGAGCCAGGAAGUUGAAACGUUGCAAGACAGACCAUGAUUGUGGGCUGCAGCCCUCCUCCCUAUUCCUCCAAAAUAAAAAAACAAAAGCAAAACAAAACAAAAACCUUUUAGUCACAGUCCUUAAGACCAAGGCGAGAGAAAACCGCUCGUCAACUCCCUAAAACGUGGCUUCUGAGUGCAUGGGCCCUAGGCUAAAGCAAGACCAAGCUGUAAGAUGCUGUCUGUUAGCUAGUAUUGUCCCUCUAGGCUUUACUUUGGCUCACGUGGAGCCGGCUGUCCAUAACAACCCCGGACCACGGACCACGAGGGGCCACAAGGGAGAUCUCUGAGGAUCUGCAGAGAUGACCUAACCGAAAGAGGGAGAUGUACAGUGGAUAGGAAACAAGCCUGGGGCAGACAGAGGACUCAAAGCUCUGCACUAUAGGUACCCACACCGGUGGAAAACGACUAGCAUUGAGCAUCCUGCUGCGCCUCCUGUCCUGCCUUUCCAAGCCCUGCCCUGGCCUGCCCUGCCCCGCGCUGCCCUGCGCGCGCGCGCCUCACUCACACGCACACGCCUUAGCACACGCACACACGUGCUCAUGCACACUACUCCCAGCAGUGUCUCUGUCCAGACUCUGGGGCGACGUCCGCCUUUAAGGGGCGACAGCCCUGUCCUUCAUGGAGCAGCCCCGCAAGGGAGCAGAGAGGCACGGCGGGCUCUGGAGCGCGUGGGCCGCGGCCGAAGAAGCACGAAGGGCAGUAGCUUACUCUCCUAGUCUUCCCCAUCCCCACAUGACCAUCACAGCUGCUUCAGUUGCCCAACACCACCAGUCCUCAGAACACUGAAAGAGGAAGAGUCGCACCCUUGAUAUUGGGGAGGACAGCUGGAUGGGAUAACCACUCUCUGACAGCUGACUGUGGCUCACUUCCAGAAGGAAUAGCAUUUGUUGAUACAAAAAACAGCCACCAGCCACCGUAACUGUAACUGCCUCUUUUAGGUGUUUUGAGCUCACAGGACUGAGGGUAAGCAAAUGCAGAUUUUUAAUUUAUUUUUAUUUUUUAUUUUUUUGGUAUUUAUAGGUAAAGGAUACUGGCUAUUCCCGAACAACACUUAGUUUAUUCACAAUUCAAUCACUGUUCGGCUUGGGAUGAUAGCAAGAGAAAUUGAUUUACAACCAUGUAGCUGGGCCCUAUUACUUAUUUUUACUAAUUGUAAAGGAAGAAGGAAUCUCAACACCCUUUGUAUAUUAGAAUCUCCUGAAUGUCAUUGUUACUUCUAAGAUGGAUUUAAGGAAAACCAACAGCAAAGUAUAGUUGCAAAUAGAAAUCCUGGGAAGGCUGCUAAGAAAUCUACCUCCUAUCACUUCCAAACAUGGUCAGAUAUAAAUAGCUGCACAGGCAUUUAAAAACUAUUCACCACGGGGAGAAAAAAGUCAUUAAUUGGUGUUAUACACAAAGGACUGCUCUCUCUCUCUCUCUCUCUCUCUCUCUCUCUCUCUCUCUCUCUCUCUCUNNNNNNNNNNAACCAGCACAGCUUUAAUUACAAGCAAUUGUCUCAAAAUCAGCUUCUGGUAAGUUCUGCAUUCUCCACAGCGAUUAUGCAUCAAUACACUAAUCUAUCACUUUCAUUAUUUUGGUCAUUUGGGUGUGUAAAUUUGUAUUUAAUUCAGACAACAAACCAGGCAAUUCCUACUGUUACUUUCUAGCACAGUGUGCCUCUCAAAGGCACAAGUUAGACUCAUCCCUUUGACUGGACUUACGAAAAUAGUAACGAUGUAUAUUUUUAUUUAGCUUGUUGGGGUGUUUCUUCUUUUUCUGACUACUAAAUAAAUAUAAUAGCAUCAGAUGUAUACA